GCUAGUAUCGCGGAUCAGCACGCCGCGGUGAAUACGUUCCCGGGCCUUGUACACACCGCCCGUCACACCAUGAGAGUCUGUAACACCCAAAGCCGGUGGGAUAACCUUUAUAGGAGUCAGCCGUCUAAGGUAGGACAGAUGAUUAGGGUGAAGUCGUAACAAGGUAAC
RNAcentral lists this ribosomal RNA (168 nucleotides) under uncultured bacterium. RNAcentral's name for it is "partial 16S ribosomal RNA". It matches the Rfam family "Bacterial small subunit ribosomal RNA", at positions 1334 to 1500 of the family's 1533-position model. The record is from RNAcentral.